This 432-nucleotide ribosomal RNA is filed under the name Klebsiella michiganensis. RNAcentral's name for it is "partial 23S ribosomal RNA". It matches the Rfam family "Bacterial large subunit ribosomal RNA", at positions 2285 to 2716 of the family's 2925-position model. The record is from RNAcentral. Lineage: Bacteria; Pseudomonadati; Pseudomonadota; Gammaproteobacteria; Enterobacterales; Enterobacteriaceae.
UCCUCCUAAAGAGUAACGGAGGAGCACGAAGGUCAGCUAAUCCUGGUCGGACAUCAGGAGGUUAGUGCAAUGGCAUAAGCUGGCUUGACUGCGAGCGUGACGGCGCGAGCAGGUGCGAAAGCAGGUCAUAGUGAUCCGGUGGUUCUGAAUGGAAGGGCCAUCGCUCAACGGAUAAAAGGUACUCCGGGGAUAACAGGCUGAUACCGCCCAAGAGUUCAUAUCGACGGCGGUGUUUGGCACCUCGAUGUCGGCUCAUCACAUCCUGGGGCUGAAGUAGGUCCCAAGGGUAUGGCUGUUCGCCAUUUAAAGUGGUACGCGAGCUGGGUUUAGAACGUCGUGAGACAGUUCGGUCCCUAUCUGCCGUGGGCGCUGGAGAAUUGAGGGGGGCUGCUCCUAGUACGAGAGGACCGGAGUGGACGCAUCACUGGUGUU